RNAcentral lists this ribosomal RNA (613 nucleotides) under Salmonella enterica. RNAcentral's name for it is "partial 23S ribosomal RNA". It matches the Rfam family "Bacterial large subunit ribosomal RNA", at positions 576 to 1190 of the family's 2925-position model. RNAcentral also lists the same sequence under 1 other name. Lineage: Bacteria; Pseudomonadati; Pseudomonadota; Gammaproteobacteria; Enterobacterales; Enterobacteriaceae. The record is from RNAcentral.
GGGGGCUUAGUGGUGGGGUGACUGCGUACCUUUUGUAUAAUGGGUCAGCGACUUAUAUUCUGUAGCAAGGUUAACCGAAUAGGGGAGCCGGAGGGAAACCGAGUCUUAAUUGGGCGUUAAGUUGCAGGGUAUAGACCCGAAACCCGGUGAUCUAGCCAUGGGCAGGUUGAAGGUUGGGUAACACUAACUGGAGGACCGAACCGACUAAUGUUGAAAAAUUAGCGGAUGACCUGUGGCUGGGGGUGAAAGGCCAAUCAAACCGGGAGAUAGCUGGUUCUCCCCGAAAGCUAUUUAGGUAGCGCCUCGUGAAUUCAUCUCCGGGGGUAGAGCACUGUUUCGGCUAGGGGGCCAUCCCGGCUUACCAACCCGAUGCAAACUGCGAAUACCGGAGAAUGUUAUCACGGGAGACACACGGCGGGUGCUAACGUCCGUCGUGAAGAGGGAAACAACCCAGACCGCCAGCUAAGGUCCCAAAGUCAUGGUUAAGUGGGAAACGAUGUGGGAAGGCCCAGACAGCCAGGAUGUUGGCUUAGAAGCAGCCAUCAUUUAAAGAAAGCGUAAUAGCUCACUGGUCGAGUCGGCCUGCGCGGAAGAUGUAACGGGGCUAAACCAU